This 482-nucleotide ribosomal RNA is filed under the name uncultured bacterium. RNAcentral's name for it is "partial 16S ribosomal RNA". It matches the Rfam family "Bacterial small subunit ribosomal RNA", at positions 30 to 507 of the family's 1533-position model. The record is from RNAcentral.
AUUGAACGCUGGCGGCAUGCUUUACACAUGCGAGUCGAACGGCAGCGCGGGGCAACCUGGCGGCGAGUGGCGAACGGGUGCGUAAUAUAUCGGAACGUACCCAGAAGUGGGGGAUAACGUAGCGAAAGUUACGCUAAUACCGCAUACGAUCUACGGAUGAAAGUAGGGGACCGCAAGGCCUUAUGCUUUUGGAGCGGCCGAUAUCUGAUUAGCUAGUUGGUGAGGUAAAGGCUCACCAAGGCGACGAUCAGUAGCUGGUCUGAGAGGACGACCAGCCACACUGGAACUGAGACACGGUCCAGACUCCUACGGGAGGCAGCAGUGGGGAAUUUUGGACAAUGGGCGCAAGCCUGAUCCAGCAAUGCCGCGUGAGUGAAGAAGGCCUUCGGGUUGUAAAGCUCUUUUGUCAGGGAAGAAACGGUAGAGGCUAAUAUCCUUUGCUAAUGACGGUACCUGAAGAAUAAGCACCGGCUAACUACGUG